GACGAACGCUGGCGGCGUGCUUAACACAUGCCAGUCGAACGGAAAGGCCCUGCUUUUGUGGGGUGCUCGAGUGGCGAACGGGUGAGUAACACGUGAGUAACCUGCCCUUGACUUUGGGAUAACUUCAGGAAACUGGGGCUAAUACCGGAUAGGAGCUCCUGCUGCAUGGUGGGGGUUGGAAAGUUUCGGCGGUUGGGGAUGGACUCGCGGCUUAUCAGCUUGUUGGUGGGGUAGUGGCUUACCAAGGCUUUGACGGGUAGCCGGCCUGAGAGGGUGACCGGCCACAUUGGGACUGAGAUACGGCCCAGACUCCUACGGGAGGCAGCAGUGGGGAAUAUUGCACAAUGGGCUGAAGCCUGAUGCAGCAACGCCGCGUGCGGGAUGACGGCCUUCGGGUUGUAAACCGCUUUCGCCUGUGACGAAGCGUGAGUGACGGUAAUGGGUAAAGAAGCACCGGCUAACUACGUG
This 468-nucleotide ribosomal RNA is filed under the name uncultured bacterium. RNAcentral describes it as "partial 16S ribosomal RNA". It matches the Rfam family "Bacterial small subunit ribosomal RNA", at positions 28 to 507 of the family's 1533-position model. The record is from RNAcentral.